AACGAACGCUGGCGGCAUGCCUAACACAUGCAAGUCGAACGAGACCUUCGGGUCUAGUGGCGCACGGGUGCGUAACGCGUGGGAACCUGCCCUUAGGUUCGGAAUAACUCCCCGAAAGGGGUGCUAAUACCGGAUAAUGUCUUCGGACCAAAGAUUUAUCGCCUUUGGGUGGGCCCGCGUUGGAUUAGCUAGUUGGUAGGGUAAAAGCCUACCAAGGCGACGAUCCAUAGCUGGUCUGAGAGGAUGAUCAGCCACACUGGGACUGAGACACGGCCCAGACUCCUACGGGAGGCAGCAGUGGGGAAUAUUGGACAAUGGGCGAAAGCCUGAUCCAGCAAUGCCGCGUGAGUGAUGAAGGCCUUAGGGUUGUAAAGCUCUUUUACACGGGAUGAUAAUGACAGUACCGGGAGAAUAAGCACCGGCUAACUCCGUG
Molecule: ribosomal RNA, 433 nt
Filed under: uncultured bacterium
Lineage: Bacteria
Description: partial 16S ribosomal RNA
Rfam family: Bacterial small subunit ribosomal RNA
Source: RNAcentral